AUUGAACGCUGGCGGCAUGCCUUACACAUGCAAGUCGAACGGCAGCACGGGAGCUUGCUCCUGGUGGCGAGUGGCGAACGGGUGAGUAAUGCAUCGGAACGUGCCCUGAAGUGGGGGAUAACGUAGCGAAAGUUACGCUAAUACCGCAUAUUCUGUGAGCAGGAAAGCAGGGGAUCUUCGGACCUUGCGCUUUUGGAGCGGCCGAUGUCGGAUUAGCUAGUUGGUGGGGUAAAGGCCCACCAAGGCGACGAUCCGUAGCGGGUCUGAGAGGAUGAUCGCCACACUGGAACUGAGACACGGUCCAGACUCCUACGGGAGGCAGCAGUGGGAAUUUUGGACAAUGGGCGCAAGCCUGAUCAGCCAUGCCGCGUGAGUGAAG
RNAcentral lists this ribosomal RNA (379 nucleotides) under uncultured bacterium. Its description in RNAcentral is "bacterial SSU rRNA". It matches the Rfam family "Bacterial small subunit ribosomal RNA", at positions 30 to 410 of the family's 1533-position model. The record is from RNAcentral.